ACGUCGCAAAACGAUUUUCUAUUAUCCAUCACUUGUGUGAGGAAUUAGGGAAUUGGCGCCCCUGUUGCUCAGAAGGUAGGCCUACUGCACUGCACUGUGCAGAGGAAGGGGCGAAGGGAGGGGUUUGCGGGGGACAGUUCACCUCUGGGUCUCCUUAAUGAAACGGGAAAGGGGGGAUGAAUGGGGAUCCACUGUAUAGUAGCCUACAACAGUCUAUUAGUGGGCUAAAAUCAGUCACACCUUGACUUUCUUCCAAACAACGCACAUCUCAUAAUGUUAUGAAUGCAGACCUAUGAUUCCUGCACAUUUAAUUAACUGUGUGAAAUGGCUAAUAAAAAUAGGUGACAAAACGAUUAAGAGGUCACCCAGGUGAAUUGGUUUGGUCUUGACUGUGGUCGCGAGUGGAUCAUGGGAAUUUGUGGAUUGUUGUCGACUGUCGAGUGCCAAACACGAUGGACAGAAAGCGGUCAAAGCCAUCAGGUGCCCAGUUCCGAAAAAAAAAGAAAAGUAGAAGAGGAGAAACGAGCAAAGGAUAAAGGGGCACUUCUAAAAUACUUUGGAGCAUCCUCUGCCACUGCUCAAGAUGAGCCACCCACAGCCCCUGUUUCACAGGAUGAGGAGGAGCCAUCAACCUCAUCAGCUGCACAGGCCUCUUCUGAGGUGGUCCCUGUCCUUGAGGAUGAGCACCAAUCCAUGUCUCCACAAACAUCUCCCUCUACGUCUGCUUCUCCUCAGCAUGAGCCUUCAGAAUUGCGCUCGGGGGGAUCUCGCCCGGGGAGUAAUUGAGUCUAGAACCGCCACUGUAAG
Molecule: long non-coding RNA, 807 nt
Organism: Alosa sapidissima (American shad)
Lineage: Eukaryota; Metazoa; Chordata; Actinopteri; Clupeiformes; Clupeidae
Exons: 3
Source: RefSeq, a predicted model, not a curated record